UGCAGUCGAACGAUGAAGUUCCUUCGGGGAUGGAUUAGUGGCGAACGGGUGASGAACACGUGAAGAAUCUGCCCUCCACUUUGGGAUAACUCCGGGAAACCGGGGCUAAUACCGAAUAUUGAAACAUAAGUGGCAUCACUGAGUUUUGAAAGAAUUUCGGUGGAGGAUGACUUCGCGGCCUAUCAGCUUGUUGGUGAGGUAAUGGCUCACCAAGGCGACGACGGGUAGCCGGCCUGAGAGGGCGACCGGCCACACUGGGACUGAGACACGGCCCAGACUCCUACGGGAGGCAGCAGUGGGGAAUAUUGGGCAAAGGACGAAAGUCUGACCCAGCGACGCCGCGUGCGGGAUGAAGGCCUUCGGGUUGUAAACCGCUUUCAGCAGGGAAGAAGCGAAAGUGACGGUACCUGCAAAAGAAGCACCGGCUAACUAUGUGCCAGCAGCCGCGGUAAUACAUAGGGUGCAAGCGUUGUCCGGAAUUAUUGGGCGUAAAGAGCUCGUAGGUCGUUAAUUACGUCGGGUGUGAAAAUCUGGGGCUCAACCCCAGACCUGCACUCGAUACGGGUUAGCUAGAGUCUGGUAGGGGAGACUGGAAUUCCUGGUGUAGCGGUGGAAUGCGCAGAUAUCAGGAGGAACACCAAUGGCGAAGGCAGGUCUCUGGGCCAAUACUGACACUGAGGAGCGAAAGCGCGGGGAGCGAACAGGAUUAGAUACCCUGGUAGUCCG
Molecule: ribosomal RNA, 726 nt
Filed under: uncultured bacterium
Lineage: Bacteria
Description: bacterial SSU rRNA
Rfam family: Bacterial small subunit ribosomal RNA
Source: RNAcentral